Molecule: long non-coding RNA, 549 nt
Filed under: Panax ginseng (ginseng)
Lineage: Eukaryota; Viridiplantae; Streptophyta; Magnoliopsida; Apiales; Araliaceae
Description: long non-coding RNA (PGIN_LNC000491)
Source: RNAcentral
UUUCAUUUCCCUAAAGCCUGGAAUUUUUCUCAUUAAAUAAAUGUCCGAAACAGUCCCCGGAAAAUUUUGGCCAGAAACUUUUUUGCACUUUGGUAGUUUUGGAGUCCUUCACCAAAACUUAAAUAAAACGAAAUCUGUAACUCUGAUUAAUGAUCCGUCAAUUUUGUUGGAUUCGUAUCUUUCCGAAAUACAGUUUUCAUAUAUCACAAUCCAUAUUUGGAUAUGUUUAGCUCCCGGAAUUUAACCCGGAAGUGACUGCUACAAACUGUCCUUCUAACAGUUUUUCUUAUCUUUGAGUAGUUUGGUAGAAAUCCCAUAACUUGCUCCUCCGAUGUCGGAUUUAGUCCGUUUCGGAGUCUAUGGAAAGCUUAUUGAGUGUACUAUAACAUAUCACAAGUCCAGAAUUUUUAGAGCACCCUAACAAAUCCGAAAUUUUCUGUUUAGGGCAGCAGUCCACUAAUUCAUUUAAAACAAAAAAACUGUUUUGGUUCAUCUUCUUUGUUCAAGCUUAUCAACCCUAAAAAUGGCAAGAUCUAACCAUAAAAUAUC